GCGCCAUCACGGGGGCUGCAGAGAGCAUCACCGCCGAGGAAAUCAACAAGCCACCAGAUCAGACCAGUGACCUACACGGCGGCUCACACGCCAAUACGCCAAAUCCUGCCGCAGAACACCAUAGAAACCAAAACCUUCUCCUCCAUGUCGCACCAAUUAUCUCCAAAUUUAGGCGUGCAAGCCCCUAACUCAGCAAGGGCUCGAAAGUGACAGCCCCCCAAACCCCAAAUUCUGCAGCCCGGGGACUGGAAAAGGCUCAAAAUCCCCUCAACGAUCUCUCAAAAUUCCCACUCUCCCAGCCCCGAAUUAGCACUAAUUGGACGCACCGAGAACAAAUUUCGGCGACGCCCCGAAUCAAGGGACAGGGUUAAAAACCCAAACUUUGCGCGAUUUUUGAAGGGGAAAAGAACCGGGCCAAGCUUGGAAUCACCAAGGAGACUGCAAAAGCUGCAAUCUUUGGCGAAAGAAAAGGCAAAAGAAACCCGAAACAAAAAGCAAAGCCUGCCGAAUCAAAGGCCCGGAACACUAGCAGCACGAGGAGGCGCAGAAAUCAUCAAAGGAGAAAACAACGCAUCAAAACGGAGCACUAC
Molecule: long non-coding RNA, 590 nt
Filed under: Oryza brachyantha (malo sina)
Lineage: Eukaryota; Viridiplantae; Streptophyta; Magnoliopsida; Poales; Poaceae
Description: long non-coding RNA (OBRA_LNC002092)
Source: RNAcentral